RNAcentral lists this ribosomal RNA (216 nucleotides) under uncultured bacterium. RNAcentral describes it as "partial 16S ribosomal RNA". It matches the Rfam family "Bacterial small subunit ribosomal RNA", at positions 1285 to 1500 of the family's 1533-position model. The record is from RNAcentral.
GUCCCAGUUCGGAUUGUAGUCUGCAACCCGACUACAUGAAGCUGGAAUCGCUAGUAAUCGCGGAUCAGAAUGCCGCGGUGAAUACGUUCCCGGGUCUUGUACACACCGCCCGUCACACCAUGGGAGCCGGUAACGCCCGAAGUCAGUGACCCAACCGUAAGGAGGGAGCUGCCGAAGGCGGGACAGGUAACUGGGGUGAAGUCGUAACAAGGUACC